This 459-nucleotide ribosomal RNA is filed under the name uncultured bacterium. RNAcentral describes it as "partial 16S ribosomal RNA". It matches the Rfam family "Bacterial small subunit ribosomal RNA", at positions 338 to 795 of the family's 1533-position model. The record is from RNAcentral.
CCUACGGGUGGCAGCAGUGAGGAAUAUUGGUCAAUGGUCGCGAGCCUGAACCAGCCAAGUCGCGUGAGGGAAGACGGUCCUAUGGAUUGUAAACCUCUUUUGUCGGGGAGCAAAAGACGCCACGCGUGGCGUUCCGAGAGUACCCGAAGAAAAAGCAUCGGCUAACUCCGUGCCAGUAGCCGCGGUAAUACGGAGGAUGCGAGCGUUAUCCGGAUUUAUUGGGUUUAAGGGGUGCGCAGGCGGACGAUCAAGUCAGCGGUAAAAUUGAGAGGCUCAACCUCUUCGAGCCGUUGAAACUGGUUGUCUUGAGUGAGCGAGAAGUAUGCGGAAUGCGUGGUGUAGCGGUGAAAUGCAUAGAUAGCACGCAGAACUCCGAUUGCGAAGGCAGCAUACCGGCGCUCAACUGACGCUCAUGCACGAAAGUGUGGGUAUCGAACAGGAUUAGAUACCCCUGUAGUC